RNAcentral lists this unclassified non-coding RNA (185 nucleotides) under soil metagenome. RNAcentral's name for it is "partial contains 5.8S ribosomal RNA, internal transcribed spacer 2, and large subunit ribosomal RNA". The record is from RNAcentral.
AACGCACGAGACCUGCGGACCUGCGGAAGGAUCAUUAAAAAAGACCCAUUUUUAAAAACCUACUACCAAUUCUUACCCAUCGGGUCAGAUGGAAGUGGGUUUUUUUUCAAACUCCAAAAUUUUUAACUAUUCGUCUUGAUGACGAAAUUCAAAUUAAUAAAUAAAACUUUUAACAAUGGAUCUCU